RNAcentral lists this non-coding RNA (45 nucleotides) under Schistosoma margrebowiei. The record is from RNAcentral. Lineage: Eukaryota; Metazoa; Platyhelminthes; Trematoda; Strigeidida; Schistosomatidae.
AUCCAAUUGACGAGUCUCAAAUAGGACGAAACACGCGUCCUGGAU